GCUGGGAGACCGGCGGUUGCCGUGGGGACCGGUCGGGCCCCUCCCUCCUCCGGUCCCCCGCCCCAGGUCCUUCCCCACCGAGACGCGCCGGCGGACCGCGGGCGAGUGCAGCCGGUGACCCGGCGAGAGGCGGCGCCGCUCCCAAGAUGUCGCAGACGGCCAUGUCCGAAACCUACGGUCCGUGACGAGAAGUUAUUACCGAGGCGCGGCCGGGGCUCUCCUCGUCUAUGAUAUCACCAGCCGAGAAACCUACAAUGCGCUUACUAAUUGGUUAACAGAUGCCCGAAUGCUAGCGAGCCAGAACAUUGUGAUCAUCCUUUGUGGAAACAAGAAGGACCUGGAUGCAGAUCGUGAAGUUACCUUCUUAGAAGCCUCCAGAUUUGCUCAAGAAAAUGAGCUGAUGUUUUUGGAAACAAGCGCGCUCACAGGGGAGAAUGUAGAAGAGGCUUUUGUACAGUGUGCAAGAAAAAUACUUAACAAAAUCGAAUCAGGUGAGCUGGACCCAGAAAGAAUGGGCUCAGGUAUUCAGUACGGAGAUGCUGCCUUGAGACAGCUGAGGUCACCGCGGCGCGCACAGGCCCCGAACGCUCAGGAGUGUGGUUGUUAGGAGCCAUGGGAGAACACACAGGUGUUCAUACAGUGGCAUUUGGGACACAAUCGUUGGAACCUGAAGAAUCUGAAGUUUUUUUUACCACCAUCCUUUUCUACUCUGUAUGG
Molecule: small RNA, 717 nt
Filed under: Pan troglodytes (chimpanzee)
Lineage: Eukaryota; Metazoa; Chordata; Mammalia; Primates; Hominidae
Description: processed transcript
Source: RNAcentral